Molecule: long non-coding RNA, 365 nt
Organism: Hypanus sabinus (Atlantic stingray)
Lineage: Eukaryota; Metazoa; Chordata; Chondrichthyes; Myliobatiformes; Dasyatidae
Exons: 3
Source: RefSeq, a predicted model, not a curated record
GCGAUAGGCUGUCGGAGAAUAACAAGGAGCCGGAACGGAAACCGAGACAGGAGCUCCCGGCGGCGGCCGUGAGGAAAAGCCGCUCCCCGUUGCGAGGAAUGUGAUCGUUGGAAUCCAUGCUGUGGGCCUGCAGAACCUUUUCUUCACUCACACAGCAAGCUGAGAUUCUCACAGGAGAGUAACCGACGCAUAUGAAAGCAAUCGAAGGAGCGCGUUCGUCAAGGCGGAAAACAGAAACGGCUUGAGGAAGGGAAAAUAUAUUUUUGAGUAUGUGAGGGACGGCCAUGGAAGCGGUGAUCACCAUGGAGGCAGAUUCCAGUGGGAAUCAGGAUCUGAGCGAAGAUUCCAGUGGGAAUCAGGAUCUG